Molecule: ribosomal RNA, 271 nt
Filed under: uncultured bacterium
Lineage: Bacteria
Description: partial 16S ribosomal RNA
Rfam family: Bacterial small subunit ribosomal RNA
Source: RNAcentral
UACGUAGGGGGCAAGCGUUGUCCGGAUUUAUUGGGCGUAAAGAGCGUGUAGGCGGCCACACAGGUCCGCUGUGAAAACUCGAGGCUCAACCUCCAGCUGUCGUUGGAAACUAUUCGGCUAGAGUCCGGAAGAGGAGAGUGGAAUUCCCGGUGUAGCGGUGAAAUGCGCAGAUAUCGGGAAGAACACCCAUGGCGAAGGCAGCUCUCUGGGACGGUACUGACGCUGAGACGCGAAAGCGUGGGGAGCGAACAGGAUUAGAUACCCUAGUAGU